Molecule: ribosomal RNA, 315 nt
Filed under: Segestrioides tofo
Lineage: Eukaryota; Metazoa; Arthropoda; Arachnida; Araneae; Diguetidae
Description: partial 12S ribosomal RNA
Source: RNAcentral
AGGUAGUACUAACAUAAAAAGAAAACCCAUAUGACAUGGCGGUCUUUAUUCAUUAAAGGAACUCGCCCCAUAAUCGAUAAUCCCCGAUAAAUUUCACCUAGAUCUACAGCUUAUAUACCGCCGUACAGAGUCAACCAUAAAGCAAGACUCCAAAAAGAAUCAUCUAGCAAUUCAGGUCAAGGUGUAGCCAACGUCCAGGAUGUUGGUAAGUUACAUUAAACAUAAUUUAAGGACGACAAUCAAAAGAAAGUCAGAAAAAGAAUUCAAAAGUAAAAAUAAGACAUAAUCCCACCUAGAAUAUCAAAAUAAAGAUGC